This 428-nucleotide ribosomal RNA is filed under the name uncultured bacterium. Its description in RNAcentral is "bacterial SSU rRNA". It matches the Rfam family "Bacterial small subunit ribosomal RNA", at positions 355 to 774 of the family's 1533-position model. The record is from RNAcentral.
UGGGGAAUUUUGCGCAAUGGGCGAAAGCCUGACGCAGUAACGCCGCGUGGAGGAUGAAGGCCUUCGGGUUGUAAACUCCUGUCAGGGGGAACGACGGAGCGAGGAGGAUAAAUCCUUGCUUCCAGACGGUACCUCCAAAGGAAGCCCCGGCUAAUUCCGUGCCAGCAGCCGCGGUAAUACGGAAGGGGCAAGCGUUGUUCGGAAUCAUUGGGCGUAAAGGGCGCGUAGGUGGUUCUGUAUGUCUAUCGUGAAAGCGUACGGCUCAACCGUAUUUUGUCGGUAGAAACUGCAGGACUUGAGGCUGGGAGGGGCUGGUGGAAUUCCCUGUGUAGCGGUGAAAUGCGUAGAGAUGGGGGAGAACACUCGUGGCGAAGGCGGCCAGCUAGACCAGUUCUGACACUGAGGCGCGACAGCGUGGGGAGCAAACA